This 1291-nucleotide long non-coding RNA is filed under the name Canis lupus familiaris (dog). RNAcentral's name for it is "lncRNA (ENSCAFG00000050327.1)". The record is from RNAcentral. Lineage: Eukaryota; Metazoa; Chordata; Mammalia; Carnivora; Canidae.
GGGCUGGGAUAUAAGGUGAGGCAAGAAAGCUCCUCCCAAAACAAAAGUCCCAGGCUUGGGUCAGAUCCCCGUCCACAGGCAUUCACCUGGGCGGCAUGACCUCAGGCUCCCGGAUCGAGAGCCAGACCAUUUCUGGCUUCCCUUCUUCUCCUUCUGGUCAGUACCCAGCCACCCACCUGACCACCAAGGGGGACCACCCUCCGGCUCUGACCCUUCUUGACCUGCGCGUACACGCAGCCAGGGCCCAUUCGUCUGUGGGCUGUGACUUUCGUGGCCGACGGGGGAUUUGCCAGUGGUGUUGUGUGCAGCCAGGAGGAUCUGUGGGCUUUUGGCUGAAGAAACUAGGCUCAGGGCCACCUGCUCGGGGUCAGGCCCCCCCAACCUGCUCUCCACCGGAGGACCCUGCUUGGACCCUGACCUGUAUUUCAGGACAGGAGUUGAGGCCCAGCAAGAGAGAGUGACUUGCCCAAGGUUACAAUUGGUUAGGGUUGAGCCACAACUUGCUCUGCCGAGAAAAACCUCUGCCCUGGCCUCUGGGUGUGCCACUGUGGCUUGGAGGGACCCGACUCGUGUCCAGAUGAGGGCCUGGCCCUCGGUUGAGGGUCCAGGUUCAGAGUAGCACAGUAAGCCAUGAAGGCUCCCCAUGGGAUACAGGCCUGGCGAUGGGCCAGAGGAGCCUGGAGCGGGAUAACCCCCACCUGAGGUCACCGUCUCCCCCGCAGUGACAUCACUGCUCUGGGCCGCACAGCCGGAGGACCACGCAAGCUGAGGCGGGCCAGGUAGGCAGCUGGAAGCACGUCACCAACCCCGGGGCAGCCCCCAUCACCCGCCAAAGCCCCCUGGGGAUGACUGGCCUCCAUGUGCCUUGGAAACCAGAAGGCGCCCAUCACCUCUGGUCCGAGUGCCUCAUCUCACAGAGAGGGACACUAAGCAGAGCCUCUCCCAAGGUUAGCAAGAGAACAGUAAAGCCUGGGAGGAGCCCAGCACAGGGCACUGUCCGCAGCCAAGGGCCGUGGUCCCCAGCACCCUGCUGCGUGAGGGCCCGGGGAGAAGCGUGAGCAGUGGAGGAGGGCUGUGCUCGAGAGAGAUGACACCCAGGGCCCCCCGAAGGCCAGGUGGCUCCUGCCCCCAGGAACUCACAGGAACACAGCUCAGACGGUGUCCAUGUUUAUCGCCUGUCCUCACACAGAAUGUAAGCAGCCUCUCCCCACUCGCAGCUGUGUCCCCAGAACCUAGCGCAAUGCCUGGCAUGUAGUAAGUGCUCAGCAAACCUUUGAAUCAACAAACGAAU